This 253-nucleotide ribosomal RNA is filed under the name uncultured bacterium. RNAcentral describes it as "partial 16S ribosomal RNA". It matches the Rfam family "Bacterial small subunit ribosomal RNA", at positions 524 to 776 of the family's 1533-position model. The record is from RNAcentral.
UACGUAGGGGGCAAGCGUUGUCCGGAAUCAUUGGGCGUAAAGAGCGUGUAGGCGGCUCGGUAAGUCCGCUGUGAAAGUCCAGGGCUCAACCCUGGAAUGCCGGUGGAAACUGUCGAGCUAGAGUCCGGAAGAGGCGAGUGGAAUUCCCGGUGUAGCGGUGAAAUGCGCAGAUAUCGGGAGGAACACCAAUGGCGAAGGCAGCUCGCUGGGACGUUACUGACGCUGAGACGCGAAAGCGUGGGGAGCAAACAGG